Molecule: ribosomal RNA, 253 nt
Filed under: uncultured bacterium
Lineage: Bacteria
Description: partial 16S ribosomal RNA
Rfam family: Archaeal small subunit ribosomal RNA
Source: RNAcentral
UACCAGCACCCCGAGUGGUCGGGACGAUUAUUGGGCCUAAAGCAUCCGUAGCCGGUCAUGCAAGUCUUCCGUUAAAUCCAGCCGCUCAACGGUUGGGCUGCGGAGGAUACUACGUGGCUAGGAGGCGGGAGAGGCAAGCGGUACUCAGUGGGUAGGGGUAAAAUCCUUUGAUCCAUUGAAGACCACCAGUGGCGAAGGCGGCUUGCCAGAACGCGCUCGACGGUGAGGGAUGAAAGCUGGGGGGGCAAACCGG